CUAAUGCGUGGACAGAAACUCCCGUGUCUAAUAUUUGACCAUUCGUUUUAUUUGAAAACUUUUUGCGAUUUAUAUUUUUGUUUUUAUGAGAUGAUAAAACAUAAAUAGUACUUUAUGCGUGACUAAUUUUUUUAAGUUUUUACACAUUUUUUAAAUAAAAUAAAUGAUCAAACGGUUGGACACGAAAAA
Molecule: microRNA precursor, 189 nt
Filed under: Oryza brachyantha (malo sina)
Lineage: Eukaryota; Viridiplantae; Streptophyta; Magnoliopsida; Poales; Poaceae
Description: MIR812 microRNA precursor family
Rfam family: MIR812 microRNA precursor family
Source: Rfam by way of RNAcentral